This 239-nucleotide ribosomal RNA is filed under the name uncultured bacterium. Its description in RNAcentral is "partial 16S ribosomal RNA". It matches the Rfam family "Bacterial small subunit ribosomal RNA", at positions 118 to 353 of the family's 1533-position model. The record is from RNAcentral.
UGAGGAACCUGCCUCAAAGAGGGGGACAACAGUUGGAAACGACUGCUAAUACCGCAUAAGCCCACGGUGCCGCAUGGCACAGAGGGAAAAGGAGCAAUCCGCUUUGAGAUGGCCUCGCGUCCGAUUAGCUAGUUGGUGAGGUAACGGCCCACCAAGGCAACGAUCGGUAGCCGGACUGAGAGGUUGAACGGCCACAUUGGGACUGAGACACGGCCCAGACUCCUACGGGAGGCAGCAUG